Long non-coding RNA from Juglans regia (Persian walnut), 897 nucleotides. RefSeq lists it as uncharacterized. The record is from RefSeq and is a predicted model, not a curated record. The transcript has 2 exons. Lineage: Eukaryota; Viridiplantae; Streptophyta; Magnoliopsida; Fagales; Juglandaceae.
UAAUUUCUCUCUAUUUAUAUCCCAUCUUCCUUUCUUGUCUACAAACUCUACAUCCGGAGGAAGAAGAUCUAGAAAAUGGAGGAGAAGAUGAUAAAAAGAUGGAUCUCUGGGACUACUGCGCCCUCCAGCACACUGAUCAUGGCGCGUGAUCGAAUCGUGCACCACUCACAGUUGAAGCUGCCAGCAUGAUCUGAGCUUUCUUCAGCUGAUGAUCCCUAUCUAUCCUGGAAAGAAUAGAUCAUGUGGCAGUUUCACCUGUUGAUGGAAAGCAUGAGGAAACCCUAAUCUCUAGAAACCCUAAUUCCAUGUUCUGAUUCAUGAAUUACAAGCAACCACAAGGGUUUGUUUGUUUCGCUUAGAAAACCCAAGACUCGGUUUCUUUUCUUGGUAUUUUAUAAUGAUAUUACGAAGUUUGGGUUAAUCUUUUGUUUGGGAGAUCUCAUGGCUGUCAUAGAUCGAAUAUGUGAGGAUCUUGAUGACGAGGAACAUCUUUUCCGUUUCUAACUACACAUCUUUGUUCCAAUUUAUGAUGUUAUAAGCAUUCCAGCUUGCUGCUUAUGUUUCUGAUCCAUUAGAUCAGUAAGUAUUUCCAUCAUCAAGAAUUCAGAUCAAAACCUCACUCGCACAUACAUAUACAUAUAUACAUAUAUAUAUAUAUAUAUAUAGAUAUAUGAAUGUGUUCUUUCAGUUUUUUGAUUCUCUUGCCAGAUGAUUGAGUUUGACCCCACAGGAAAGGGGAAGGAAAUUCAAACCAGUAUCUGUUUCCGAGGUGGAUAAUGAUUUUGUCCUCCUCUGUUAACCCUUGGGGGCCAAAUCAUGUAUUUUCUCUCUCUCAACCAUCACUGACAUGCAUGAAAUCUGUGUGAUAUAUAUAUAUAUAUAUAUAUAGUCUGUCAA